This 332-nucleotide unclassified non-coding RNA is filed under the name soil metagenome. RNAcentral describes it as "partial contains 5.8S ribosomal RNA, internal transcribed spacer 2, and large subunit ribosomal RNA". The stretch from base 1 to 120 matches the Rfam family "5.8S ribosomal RNA", at positions 35 to 154 of the family's 154-position model. The record is from RNAcentral.
GAUGAAGAACGUAGCGAAAUGCGAUAAGUAGUGUGAAUUGCAGAAUUCAGUGAAUCAUCGAAUCUUUGAACGCACAUUGCGCCCUUUGGUAUUCCUUAGGGCAUGCCUGUUCGAGCGUCAUUUAAACCUUCAAGCUAAGCUUGGUGUUGGGUGACUGUCCGCUUCACGGCGGACUCGCCUCAAAAUUUUUGGCGGCCGGUACAUUGGCUUCGAGCGCAGCAGAAACGCGAACUCGGGCCCGUCGUAUUGGCUCCCAGAAGCUAUCUUCACAAUUUUGACCUCGGAUCAGGUAGGGAUACCCGCUGAACUUAAGCAUAUCAAUAAGCGGAGGA